GUCUUUUCUUCCUGGAGUCCUGGUAAUGAAAGUUUUGCCAUUGUGACCAUCAGCGUGGGCCCAACUCAGGCAGACAGAUAGCGCUGAUAUUAGAGGUGCAGUCAUUCCCUUUACUACUCCUUGGCCCUCAGGACAGACAUUCCAGCUGGUUCUGCAACGUUGUGGAGAAUUCUGAAGAUGGAUAUGACAAACAAGUCAUCUGGAGCUCUCGCUGGAAUCAGUAAGAAAAUGCUUAUUAUAAUCAACUCAGAGGUCAGGAAGGAAAAAGUGAGCCAAAGAAUUAUGGCUGCGGAUCUUGGAGGGGUGUAUGUUUUGCAGAUCUGUGUUGUAAAUGUUGCUGUUUUAAAUGCAAAGUCAUCGGGAUCAUCAUAUGCAGAGAAGGAACUCAUUAAUUCCCUCGGAAUCAGAAAAAGGUGUUUCCCAAUUAUCCUGCCAUGGGAGAACAUUGCUGGUGGAUGGAAGCUGACGUCCACAGCACAGCACACACAGGGGCGGCCGGGAAAGGUGGGACUGUCUUCCUUCCUUCCAGGGAGCUCGGGAGCUGCCCUGGGGGCAGGGGUUUAUGCAGGAUGA
RNAcentral lists this long non-coding RNA (573 nucleotides) under Capra hircus (goat). Its description in RNAcentral is "lncRNA (ENSCHIG00010012294.1)". Lineage: Eukaryota; Metazoa; Chordata; Mammalia; Artiodactyla; Bovidae. The record is from RNAcentral.